AGAGUUUGAUCAUGGCUCAGAUUGAACGCUGGCGGCAGGCUUAACAUAUGCAAGUCGAGCGGAAACGAUAGUAGCUUGCUACUAGGCGUCGAGCGGCGGACGGGUGAGUAAUACUUAGGAAUCUGCCCAGUAGUGGGGGAUAGCUCCCCGGAAACUCGAAUUAAUACCGCAUACACCCUACGGGGAAAAGGGGGCGCUUGCGCUCUCGCUAUUGGAUGAGCCUAAGUCGGAUUAGCUAGUUGGUGGGGUAAAGGCCUACCAAGGCGACGAUCUGUAGCUGGUCUGAGAGGAUGAU
Molecule: ribosomal RNA, 295 nt
Filed under: uncultured bacterium
Lineage: Bacteria
Description: partial 16S ribosomal RNA
Rfam family: Bacterial small subunit ribosomal RNA
Source: RNAcentral